This 465-nucleotide ribosomal RNA is filed under the name uncultured bacterium. RNAcentral's name for it is "partial 16S ribosomal RNA". It matches the Rfam family "Bacterial small subunit ribosomal RNA", at positions 28 to 507 of the family's 1533-position model. The record is from RNAcentral.
GACGAACGCUGGCGGCGUGCUUAACACAUGCAAGUCGAACGGAAAGGCCCUGCUUGCAGGGUACUCGAGUGGCGAACGGGUGAGUAACACGUGGGUGAUCUGCCCUGCACUUCGGGAUAAGCCUGGGAAACUGGGUCUAAUACCGGAUAGGAGCCAUUUUUAGUGUGAUGGUUGGAAAGUUUUUUCGGUGUAGGAUGAGCUCGCGGCCUAUCAGCUUGUUGGUGGGGUAAUGGCCUACCAAGGCGGCGACGGGUAGCCGGCCUGAGAGGGUGGACGGCCACAGUGGGACUGAGAGACGGCCCAGACUCCUACGGGAGGCAGCAGUGGGGAAUAUUGCACAAGGGGCGCAAGCCUGAUGCAGCGACGCCGCGUGGGGGAUGACGGCCUUCGGGUUGGAAACUCCUUUCGCUAGGGACGAAGCUUUUUGUGACGGUACCUAGAUAAGAAGCACCGGCUAACUACGUG